AUUCUGCCGGAGCAAGCUGUCCUCCUCACACCCCACAGCUGCCAUGAGGUGGGGCUGUAUCUUACCUUGGCUUUGCAGUCACCUUUUCAGGUGUCUUGGCUGAGAGUCUCAGAAAACACUCCGUCCACCCUCAAGUGUGGAAGAAGGUCAGGAAAACGAAAAGAAGCAGAAUAUACUGAAACCGAGUUGGCAGCUGGAAUAUUAACAAGAAGCCAACUCACCCAUGUUAGAGAUCUAGCUGCUGCAGGAGUUCGGUCGUAGAACCUGGCAGCACGAGAGCCAGUGCAGAGCCAUCUGGUCUUUGGGAUUGUUCCUGGACAGACCAAGAGCUUUGCUUGCUAAGAAUCAGGUCUCCGGAGGAAGCCUGAUGGUUUAAAGAAUUGCUUUUCCUCAGACUAGACUGGUACCAUCUGUUAUUCCUACAAGACUCAGAGACAAACUUGCCUCCACCUGUACCUGCAUUGUAUGACCUUUGGCUGCUGAUGCAAAGAGGAGAAGAGAUGGCUGCAAGAAGCAAAUUUUCACAGUUGGCAGGAGUGAACAAAGUCACAGAGCAUGCGGUUUUUUUUCUUCUCCAAGUUGGGGGGACAUGGGGACAAGAAACUAAGAAAGAGUACAGGAUCCUUUGAUAUGCUUUAGCUUCUGAGUGUCCUAGGCUUUAGGGGAAAUAUGCCCCCAGGGGUGCAAGGGAAAUUGCUCUUAUCACAGUAGCCCCUGUCUGGGACCGAAAGCUCAGCCUUGUAGAGGUCCAGCUGCUCCUCAGCUGCUUUCGGAAUCCACUGGCUACUUCCCAUCCUGUUUGUGAGGGAAGCUAAUAGGGUCUCUCUGCAGUUCUGCAACCACUGGCAGUGUUUUGAAUGGCUUGAGAGCUAGGAAAACAAAUCCUUCAUCAUCUUUUAAAUGCAGUCACCUUUUCCAGGAAUGUGCUGACAUGCCCGCAACCCCCUGCCGUGUCAGACUGUAGAAGUGGUGUGAUCAUGGUCAUGUGGUACGCUGAAGGGAGGAUUCUGGACACCAGGGGCUGAUCAGCCAGCAAGGCACAGGCUUGUUCCAUGGCAGCAGACGGCUGAGAAAUGAUGUGAAGCAGACGGAGUAGGAUCCUGACCAUCCUCUUCUCUCUGCUCUGUCUGCCUGUUAGGAAGGACAAUCUCUUUGCUGAAGCUGCAGAACUCUAGCUCAGAAAGCACUCCUUGCUAGCCCUGGACACAGGACAGCACACCCCCAUAGAUAAAAUGGAACCUACUGAGCCUUAGGAAUAAGAGAAUGACUUAAGAGAGAAUACAAAUUUACUCUGAUGUCUAGAUCCUCAUCUUUCAUCCUGUUUUGUGGUAAGGCAAAUGUCACAGCAGGGAAUGUUUUCUGGUCCUCUACCGUGCAUGCUGAAACACCUCCAUGUCUUCACAAGCGCCGCCUUUAGUCACUACCUCACUUAGCGGGAAGUAUGCCAAGUCACCAUAGUUGAAGAGAACAGGGGUGGAGGCUGUAACUGUACCAAUGCAGAGGGUAUGAUGCGUGAGUGUUCUCAAGCUGAAACAGGAUGCUGUUCUCACAGACCACUCACUGGCCUUUGCACGUCUGCACAGUGCAAGCCAAGCCGAGUAACCAAUGGACGAUUCUGUUUCCUCCUCCCUCCCUCCUCUCAUUUGACUGGACAGAAUCUCAUCUUGUAGCUCAGGAUGGAAUCAAGCUUAACCUCACUCUAGAGUGCUGGGUGUAUAGGCAAUAUGUCCACAGAGCAGAGUAUUUCUUAUGAAUCGUCAUCGCCAUUUUUUUCAGUUGUAAAUUGCUGCUCUGUUAGAUUAACAGAAGAGUGCUACAUUGUGCAUUUAGGCCAUGAAAGCCAACGGAAAGCACUUGAAGCUUUGGGGCCAAAGGUGUCAAAACCAUAUAAAAUACUCAACAAUGGCUAUUGGAUUUUCCAGUGAUUUCUCUUUUAUGGUUAAUUUUAGCAUAUGAAUUUAUCUCAAUUCCAGACAGAAUCAUAAAUGAAAGCCAAAGACAAACCUUCAGAUGUUCAAGUCCCCAACAGGGAAGCUCUUCCAAUGUUCCCUCUUGGCUUGACCUAAGUUUCUGCUCAGACUGGGAAUCCACAGGGCUCCCUAGGGUGAAGAAGUGUGGGGACAGAGAAAUGCACACAGAAGGAAAUGUGGAGGCUGAUGACACAGCCUCAUUCUCUGUCUCUCCUCCCCCCUCAUUAAAUUAGAUGCCAGAAAGAUGGCUUAGUGGUCACAGUGUUUGCUGUUUUUCCAGAGGACCAAACUGGGCUUUUCAGCACCCGUGUCAGGCAACUUUCAACAGUCUGAAACUCUGACUCCGGGGGACCCAAAACCCUCUUUCGGCCAACACAGUCACCUGCACACAUGUGCACACACAAACAUGGACACACACACACACACAUAAAUAAAUACUUUUCAAAAACCUAAAGAAAUUAAACUGUUCUUUUCUUCAACCCACAAAAUCUCCUCCCAUAUCAAUUUAUAGAUGGCGUCUUAGAAAGAUCUGUUUUCAAAUCCUCUGUAUUCUGAGAAUAGGCACUCUGCUCUUUUCUCUAAACAAAUGUUUCUAAUGAUAUAGCCUAGUUUUUGGUUUUUCUGCUUGGAAGUACUAAAUAUUGGGAAAUUGUUUACAGGGUGUUACACAGCCUUGGUGAGCACUCUUCUGGCCACAGCCUUUGGUACACACUGUGAACGCAGUUUGUCUUGUGUGCGUUGGGGACAGGAAUAUUGACACCGCCUGGGGAAACACUGCACACAUGAAGUAAGGACCCAUGUGCUUUCUCACUCAAGGGAUCAGAGAUACAAAGUUAUUACCAAACAACGAUUCAGCUAGCGUUGACUCUGCUCGAACGGGUUUUUCUUCAACUUCCUGGAAGUUGAGGCAGAAUUCUCAAGAACUGGAACUUAGGAACUACGUGGACUUUGGACAUGGAGAGUCAUCCCACUGGGGUUGCUGAAGAGACACGGCUAAGCAAGGAACGGACCGUCUGGGCUGGCCGGUGGUUCUGCUGCUGCGCUUCCUCCCAGGUCUCCUUACCUGCAAGGCUCGCAGCCCAAAGCUCUUCAACCCAUCCAGAACUGACAGCCCUGUUUUCUCUCUCUGACAAAAGGCCUGUGGCAGUGGUUCUCCACCGAUAGGUCGCGACUUUCUUGAGGGGGUAGAAACCACUGGAAAACAUAGAUAAUUUACAUCAUGAUUUAUAACAGUAGCAAAAUUAUAGUUGUGAAGUAGCAACAAAAUAAUUCUAUGGGGGUCACCACGUGAGGAUCCCUAUUAAAGGGCCGCAGCCUAAGGAAGGUUGGGAACCACUGGCCUAGAGGGAUGUAUUGGGAGCUACGAAGUUGUUCGGGGAGAGCUAUGGCAGCUAAAACACGUUUUUACUGAAUAUAUUUAAUAUUUAGCAUUUGAAGUGGAAAAUUUUCUGCUUAUGCUAAUAUUUAUUCUCAACUCUUAAAUCCUGCAUUCAUUUUGCUGACACGUUAGCAGCUAAAUUUUUAUAUUUUUCAGAUUACUUUUUAGUCUUUCAUUUACAGUUGAAUGUCGACUGAAUAACAGUCAAUAACUGAAAUAUGAAAUACCAAGCUUGUUAAAGUAUUGAUUUCUAAACGUCAACCCCUUCUUGUGGAGCACAGUUGUACUUUGAAACUUUUUUCAAAUUGUAUCUUACUUUUCUGUUUCUGAACUUCGUAUUAGAAGCCAAAGUAGCAGCAUCUGCUCUUUGAUAGAUUCUUUGACAAUUCUGAUUCAUAUCUGCUGUUCUUCAAAUUUAAACUUUUAACUUAA
Molecule: non-coding RNA, 3780 nt
Organism: Myodes glareolus (Bank vole)
Lineage: Eukaryota; Metazoa; Chordata; Mammalia; Rodentia; Cricetidae
Source: RefSeq, a predicted model, not a curated record